This 252-nucleotide ribosomal RNA is filed under the name uncultured bacterium. RNAcentral's name for it is "partial 16S ribosomal RNA". It matches the Rfam family "Bacterial small subunit ribosomal RNA", at positions 524 to 776 of the family's 1533-position model. The record is from RNAcentral.
UACGGGGGGGUAAGCGUUGUUCGGAAUUACUGGGCGUAAAGGGCUCGUAGGCGGCCAACUAAGUCGGACGUGAAAUCCCUCAGCUUAACUGGGGAACUGCGUCCGAUACUGGAUGGCUUGGAUUUGGGAGAGGGAUGCGGAAUUCCAGGUGUAGCGGUGAAAUGCGUAGAUAUCUGGAGGAACACCGGUGGCGAAGGCGGCAUCCUGGACCAACAUUGACGCUGAGGAGCGAAAGCUAGGGGAGCAAACGGG